CGUGCGUCGAGUGGCUUUGCUCACCGUUUUCCUUUUAGGCUACCCACGUGUCGAUCAUCGUCGAAGGCUCGGCUUCCAAUUCUUCUCGACAUUUCCUUCCGUUUCCACUUCUCUCUCUCACUCCGCAGUCUUCUCUCCUCUCAUCUAUCACUCUUCCUCUGACUCUCCUUCCCUACUGAAAGAACCAUGAUCUUUCAUGUUCCCCUCUUCUAUUCAUUCGGGUCCCGUAUGUAAAAGGGUUUUGGCUUUGGUAGCAGAUGAAGAUCGGUGACAAUGAUCGGAGUUCGUCGCCGUGUGGGUGAUCCCAGUGGCACUGGUUUUCAAUUCUGGUGAUUUCUAUGGUUUUGUGUUGCGUAAUAUUUGGGGAUUUGGUUUGGGUCUGUGGGUAAACAAUACUCAGGUUCCAACCCCCAGUAACGCAACAUGCUCGAUUCCAAUUCUUAAUUAAGGGGGAUGAUGCAAAACCCAGAAUUUCUUCGUAAGUUGACUUCUGCUUAGACUAUACAGAUACUCUUUACUUUGCAGCAAUCACUUCUGUCGCAACUGGUUGACAACAGUAACAGUCAACCCAAUCACAGACAAGCAAACAUUAUCAAAUCUAUGUGUAUGAGUUGCAAAGAUACAUGUGGAAAAUAAUAGGUGACCUCUUUAUUCUAUAUAUUUCUAACGUUUAUUUUUUAUUUUUCCAAAAUCCAUGCUGAGCAAUUUAUGUUUCUCUUUCUUUAACAUUUUUUUUGCUUCGGUUUUGCUCACUUAAUAAUUUGAUUUACACCUACUUUUUAGAAUUAGAAUAGAAUAUGGUUAUAAUUAUCUGCAAUUGUUGGGUAGUUGGCAAAACUCAAGACCUUUUUAUGCCUGUUUGAAGGAACAAACAGAGGUUGUAAACCCCUGCCUUGCUCAUACAUGUUUUACUCUUUCAUUGGCAUUUAAUUUAUUUUCCUGUUUUGGUUUAGGCUUUUAGUUUGGUUUGAUUUGUUGUUAACUUUGUUAAUCUGGUAAGAAUUACAUUUUUCUAAUGGCUUGGAUUUAGGAUUUCAUUAUAAUUUCUUCUUUUUCAACAUAAUGGUUAAUCUGGAUAGGGAGGUAGUUUGCAUUCAGGUGAGGUGGGGCAGACUUUUUUGAGAAAGAACCUCUUGGUGGUGUCCCCUGGAGGACAAAAUAGUACUAUUUAGUGACCAGGAGCUGAGAGCCCAAUUUCAUUACAAUUUCUUCUUUUUCAACGUAAUGGUUAUCAAAUUAAUUGUUUUUCCUUUAAGGGUACUAACAGCAGGCUAGACUCAUACCUUUCCAUUUUUUUUUCUUCCAAAUUCCUUUUCUACAUUGAAUCUUAUUUUCAAAUUUGUUUUAUAUUUUUUCUUGAAAUUCACAAGUGCAGUGUUUUCUAUUUGUUAAAGGCAUAAUAGUAUAUCCAUUCAGUUUAAUUUCAUUUUAACUCGGUGGUGGUUUACACAGUUUUCAGCAUUUUCCACAUAGGUUCUGAUUUUAAUUGUUUGCUAAAACCUAUAGAUUGUUAAAACUAAUGACAAGCUAUUACUAUAUAUUGUUCAUAUCAAGGAUGGAGACAUUUUUGGAUUACCCUAAAAUAUAGCUAGGAAACAUCUAUUCUUUUUCAUUACGGCAGACAUUGAUGCCCUACAGUGUUGACUUUCUUUAAUGCUUCCUCUGGAUUCUACAAUUUCUUUUUAAAGUUUAUUUGGUUGCUGGGAAAAAAACUCAGAAAUGAAGGGCUUUAGAGUUUGAUCAUUUGUGCCUCAAAUUUGGUACUGUUUCUUUCCCCUAUAUAAUUUUGAUUGGUAAUAUAGAUUUUCAUCAUAAAUUAUUGUAUUCUUUUGCAAAGUUGUUCAUGUUUUACACCUCUUUUAACUUUAACACCAUUUCACCUGAGAACUCAACUUCAAUUAGAGAAAGAGGAAGAGGAGCAUAGAAGUAUGUCCACUACUCCUUUGUUUCAUUGAGCUUAGAGAAAGAGGUAGCAGCCAUCGAAGUAAUUCGAGUUCAAAUAUGAGUUCAUAUCUGAGUUCAAAUCCUAUUUUUGAGCCCUUUGUUUCAUCGGUAGGUAAAGCUCAAAUAUUUCGAACAUGUUUAAUUUUGAAUUAGUCUCUACAUCUACACGCGUACAAUGAACAAAUAUUCACUGGUCCUUUACAAUGACGAUUCAAUGGUUAUGAAUUAGUGUAAUUCAUGGAUAUAAUGCAUAUAUGGACGACGACAACAACAACAACAAAGGAUAUAUUGACAAAGGGAUAUAUUGAAAUAUGCAGGAAAUUGUUUCUCUAUAACACAUUGUGAGUCGAGGAAUCUCUUUCAUUUGAGCUGGCCAUGUCGAAGUGUAUUUUUACUAACUUGGUACGCUAUAUCACAUUCAGAGAACUCUUUUACAUGUCCUUUUGUAUUGUGUUUGGUAAAUAUAUAAUAUUUGUUGGAGUAUUUUGUAUCUAGUUGAGUCAUAUGAAAUUCAAGAUUCCAGUUGUUAUAUCAUUUGACGCUUACCAUCAUCUAAUCUUUGGCAUAUAUAAUCUGUUUGGUUGCUUAACAAAAUCUGUUCGAAUAAUCUCCAUUAAAUGACUUCUGUGUUUGUGACCUUUUACUCAAACUUUAUAUAUUUUCUCCUCUCUAAUUUGUGUUUUUUGCUUUGUCAGAAGAUUAUUUUUGUAUAAAAUAUAAAUGUUAGAAACAUUCUACCCGUUGUUUAGUUUCUUUGACUAAUUUUGUAGUGUUAGUUCUGCACCAUUUCAAUUUGUCUUUGAUUGGAUAAAUAAUAGCAUUGUUUAUGCUAAUUUGCCAAUUUCUUCAUAUUUUUAAGUUAUCUCGAAGCCAGAUUCUGGGCCCUUUAUUCAGUGUUUUGAAGACAUUACAAUUUCUAAACCCCCGCAGCAUCGCGCGGGCAACCUUUCUAGUAUCAACGAUUCUUAAAUUCGUUUUUAUAAGUAACUUAUUAUUAUUAGAUGGGUUUAAAUUUUAAAAUUUGUAUAUAUAUAUUUUUAAUAAGCGAUAUUAUUUAGGCUAAAGAGAGUGAGCAAUAGUAUGGUUCACAUUCGUUUUUAGCGAGAAUCAAAUCUAAAAAACUUCUAUUUCAAAAUACAUUUAAUAAUGUUAAAUAGGAUGGUGAUUAUCAUCGUCAAUUGUAGUUGGUCAGCAAAAUAAUUACCGGAAAGUUAAACCUC
RNA transcript from Pyrus x bretschneideri (Chinese white pear), 3164 nucleotides. RefSeq lists it as uncharacterized. The transcript is spliced from 6 exons. Lineage: Eukaryota; Viridiplantae; Streptophyta; Magnoliopsida; Rosales; Rosaceae. The record is from RefSeq and is a predicted model, not a curated record.